AAAAUUGAUAAGAUUCCCAAAUGAAAUAUAUUUUUACAUCUGUAAAUUGGAUACAGAUAAGAAUUUUUCCACAAUAGAUACAAGAUGAAAGAUUUUAUAUUUGUUUCAAUUCUUCUCCCUCUCUUUUUAACAAUAAAAAAAGAAAUAAAAUAUGAAAUUUAACAUUUUCUUUUAUGCUUAUACAUCCAUGUGACGUGAGGGAGGCAGACAACAUAGAGCGAAGAAAAGAGUGUACAAAAAACAUUAAACGGAACUUGGAGGGAACCUUUUGACUUGAGGGCUCUUUAACAAAAGCCAUUCACAUAAACACGUAUCCAUGGGAAUUAAACUUUAUUUUCAUUUGGGUGAAGAUCAUCAUUUGAAGUUUCCAAGCUUUUCUCAUUAUGAUCCUCCUCCUCCUCCUUCUUCUUCCUCUUGCAAUACUUCAUGGAUAUCCAAAAAAAGUGUCUCAAGAGAACUAGAAGUUGGUCUUGCUCUGUACUCCAUUUUGCUUAGAUCAAACCGAAAGAAACCAAAGAUUGUAAUCCGUUGGUUAAAUGAUACAAAAUAGAGUGCAUGCUUCCUUUUGUGCCCACAUGCGUAAGGGACAUCACGAG
RNAcentral lists this unclassified non-coding RNA (596 nucleotides) under Hevea brasiliensis (rubber tree). Lineage: Eukaryota; Viridiplantae; Streptophyta; Magnoliopsida; Malpighiales; Euphorbiaceae. The record is from RNAcentral.